GGACUGUUCACGUGACCGCUUUAUACUGCGCUGUGUCAUAUGCUGUGGGGACGGCUGUUAACGUGACGCUCUUAACUUGAUGCUGUUGACGUGGUCGGGACUCUGUUCACGUGACUGUUGUUAACAUGACGCUUAUAACUGCGCUGUGGCGGACAUGACAGCUCACAGCUCCUCAGAAGCUCCGUGCACCGUGAGCUGUCCAGUGAGGGGAUGGUUUCAUGUUCAAAUCUUCAUUUACCGUCCACAUUAUCAGAUGAGGACGUCACCAAAGAGUGUCCUUUGAGUCGAUGUUUACAUUUAUGUACAGAUAAUUAAGAACAUUUAGUUUAUCGUAAAAUGCUAAUUAUUUUCUCCUGCCACCUUUCAGACAUUGUCAUCCAAUUUGGAUGGAACAACUUCGUGACCUUAAUGACACCCAGCAACACGAGACGCACACAAGCACCACAGGGGAGGAUCUGCAGCAAAGGGCCCACCGGAAAUCAAACCUUGGCCGCUAUGAUGACGACAACAUGGGGCACUUGAGUGUGUGACUACGACUACCAGCAUGAACCUCAACACCUUCUUUGCUGUUCCACCAGUGUGACCCAUGAUCAGAUGCAAGUUGUCAAGGAUAAACGGUGGUAAGUGGUUUUAAGUUCAGUGUGUUAAUUUAACAACAGAAUAAAUUGUUAUUGUUGUAACCACUUUGUCAUGUUGUAAAUGCUAUUUAAAGUUAUAUUAUUGUUAAUCUUUUCAAUUGUCUUUUUUCUGGCUGUAGAGAGAAU
Molecule: long non-coding RNA, 764 nt
Organism: Pseudoliparis swirei
Lineage: Eukaryota; Metazoa; Chordata; Actinopteri; Perciformes; Liparidae
Exons: 3
Source: RefSeq, a predicted model, not a curated record